RNAcentral lists this ribosomal RNA (486 nucleotides) under uncultured bacterium. Its description in RNAcentral is "bacterial SSU rRNA". It matches the Rfam family "Bacterial small subunit ribosomal RNA", at positions 29 to 509 of the family's 1533-position model. The record is from RNAcentral.
AGUGAACGCUGGCGGCAGGCCUAAUACAUGCAAGUCGAACGGCAGCACAGCAGAGCUUGCUCUGUGGGUGGCGAGUGGCGGACGGGUGAGGAAUACAUGGGAAUCUGCCCAGUCGUGGGGAUAACGUAGGGAAACUUACGCUAAUACCGCAUGCGCCCUUCGGGGAAAGCCGGGGACCGUAAGGCCUGGCGCGAUUGGAUGAGCCCAUGUCGGAUUAGCUAGUUGGCGGGGUAAAGGCCCACCAAGGCGACGAUCCGUAGCUGGUCUGAGAGGAUGAUCAGCCACACUGGAACUGAGACACGGUCCAGACUCCUACGGGAGGCAGCAGUAGGGAAUAUUGGACAAUGGGCGCAAGCCUGAUCCAGCCAUGCCGCGUGAGUGAAGAAGGCCCUCGGGUUGUAAAGCUCUUUGUCCGGAAAGAAAAGCGCCGGGUUAAUACCCUGGUGUCCUGACGGUACCGGAGAUAAGCACGGCUAACUUCGUGCC